Molecule: long non-coding RNA, 42399 nt
Filed under: Triticum aestivum (bread wheat)
Lineage: Eukaryota; Viridiplantae; Streptophyta; Magnoliopsida; Poales; Poaceae
Description: long non-coding RNA (TAES_LNC019976)
Rfam family: MIR1120/MIR1122 microRNA precursor family (bases 16263-16396)
Source: RNAcentral
UCUGGAUUCCUUCGCCAAGGCAAUUGCUCCAGUAUUGUCACAAAAGAUUUUCAUUGGACCCGAUGCACUAGGUAUGACACCUAGAUCGGAUAUGAACUCCUUCAUCCAGACUCCUUCAUUAGCUGCUUCCGAAGCUGCUAUGUAUUCCGCUUCACAUGUAGAUCCCGCUACGACGCUUUGUUUAGAACUGCACCAACUGACAGCUCCACCGUUUAAUGUAAAUACGUAUCCGGUUUGCGAUUUCGAAUCGUCCGGAUCAGUGUCAAAGCUUGCAUCAACGUAACCACUUACGAUGAGCUCUUUGUCACCUCCAUAUACGAGAAACAUCUCCUUAGUCCUUUUCAGGUACUUCAGGAUAUUCUUGACCGCUGUCCAGUGAUCCACUCCUGGAUUACUUUGGUACCUCCCUGCUAAGCUAAUAGCAAGGCACACAUCUGGUCUUGUACACAGCAUUGCAUACAUGAUAGAGCCUAUGGCUGAAGCAUAGGGAACAUCUUUCAUUUUCUCUCUAUCCUCUGCAGUGGUCGGGCAUUGAGUCUUACUCAACUUCACACCUUGUAGUACAGGCAAGAACCCUUUCUUUGCUUGAUCCAUUUUGAACUUCUUCAAAACUUUGUCAAGGUAUGUGCUUUGUGAAAGUCCAAUUAAGCGUCUUGAUCUAUCUCUAUAGAUCUUGAUGCCCAAUAUGUAAGCAGCUUCACCGAGGUCCUUCAUUGAAAAACUCUUAUUCAAGUAUCCCUUUAUGCUAUCCAGAAAUUCUAUAUCAUUUCCGAUCAGCAAUAUGUCAUCCACAUAUAAUAUCAGAAAUGCUACAGAGCUCCCACUCACUUUCUUGUAAAUACAGGCUUCUCCAAAAGUCUGUACAAACCCAAAUGCUUUGAUCACACUAUCAAAACGUUUAUUCCAACUCCGAGAUGCUUGCACCAGUCCAUAAAUGGAUCGCUGGAGUUUGCAUACUUUGUUAGCUCCCUUUGGAUCGAUAAAACCUUCUGGUUGCAUCAUAUACAACUCUUCUUCCAGAAAUCCAUUCAGGAAUGCAGUUUUUACAUCCAUCUGCCAAAUUUCAUAAUCAUAAAAUGCGGCAAUUGCUAACAUGAUUCGGACAGACUUAAGCAUCGCUACGGGUGAGAAGGUCUCAUCGUAGUCAAUCCCUUGAACUUGUCGGAAACCCUUUGCGACAAGUCGAGCUUUGUAGACAGUAAUAUUACCGUCAGCGUCGGUCUUCUUCUUAAAGAUCCACUUGUUCUCUAUUGCUUGCCGACCUUCGGGCAAGUCAACCAAAGUCCAUACUUUGUUUUCAUACAUGGAUCCCAUCUCAGAUUUCAUGGCUUCAAACCAUUUUGCGGAAUCUGGGCUCACCAUCGCUUCUUCAUAGUUCGUAGGUUCAUCAUGAUAUAGUAGCAUGACUUCCAGAACAGGAUUACCGUACCACUCUGGUGCGGAUCUUACUCUGGUUGAUCUACGAGGUUCUGUAGUAACUUGAUCUGAAGCUUCAUGAUCAACAUCAUCAACUUCCUCACUACUUGGUGUAGAUGUCUCAGAAACCGGUUUCUGAGAUAAACUACUUUCCAAUAAGGGAGAAGGUACAGUUACCUCAUCAAGUUCUACUUUCCUCCCACUCACUUCUUUCGAGAGAAACUCCUUCUCUAGAAAGGAUCCAUUUUUAGCAACAAAUGUCUUGCCUUCGGAUCUGUGAUAGAAGGUGUACCCAACUGUCUCCUUUGGGUAUCCUAUGAAGACACAUUUCUCCGAUUUGGGUUCGAGCUUAUCAGGUUGAAGCUUUUUCACAUAAGCAUCGCAGCCCCAAACUUUAAGAAACGACAACUUUGGUUUCUUGCCAAACCAUAGUUCAUAAGGUGUCGUCUCAACGGAUUUUGACGGUGUUCUAUUCAACGUGAAUGCGGCCGUCUCAAGUGCAUAACCCCAAAAUGAUAGCGGUAAAUCUGUAAGAGACAUCAUAGAUCGCACCAUAUCUAGUAAAGUGCGAUUACGACGUUCGGACACACCAUUACGCUGUGGUGUUCCGGGUGGCGUGAGUUGCGAAACUAUUCCGCAUUGUUUCAAAUGUAGACCAAAUUCGUAACUCAUAUAUUCUCCUCCACGAUCUGAUCGUAGAAACUUUAUUUUCUUGUUACGAUGAUUUUCAACUUCACUCUGAAAUUCUUUGAACUUUUCAAAUGUUUCAGACUUGUGUUUCAUUAAGUAGAUAUACCCAUAUCUGCUCAAAUCAUCUGUGAAGGUGAGAAAAUAACGAUAUCCGCCAUGAGCCUCAACAUUCAUCGGACCACAUACAUCCGUAUGUAUGAUUUCCAACAAAUCUGUUGCUCUCUCCAUAGUACCGGAGAACGGUGUUUUAGUCAUCUUGCCCAUGAGGCACGGUUCGCAAGUGCCAAGUGAUUCAUAAUCAAGUGACUCCAAAAGUCCAUCAGUAUGGAGUUUCUUCAUGCGCUUUACACCGAUAUGACCUAAACGGCAGUGCCACAAAUAAGUUGCACUUUCAUUAUCAACUCUGCAUCUUUUGGUUUCAACAUUAUGAAUAUGUGUAUCACUACUAUCGAGAUUCAUCAAGAAUAGACCACUCUUUAAGGGUGCAUGACCAUAAAAGAUGUUACUCAUAUAAAUAGAACAACCAUUAUUCUCUGAUUUAAAUGAAUAACCGUCUCGCAUCAAACAAGAUCCAGAUAUAAUGUUCAUGCUCAACGCAGGCACCAAAUAACAAUUAUUUAGGUCUAAUACUAAUCCCGAAGGUAGAUGUAGAGGUAGCGUGCCGACCGCGAUCAGAUCGACUUUGGAACCAUUUCCCACGCGCAUCGUCACCUCGUCCUUUGCUAGUGUCCGCUUAAUCUGUAGUCCCUGUUUCGAGUUGCAAAUAUUAGCAACAGAACCAGUAUCAAAUACCCAGGUGCUACUGCGAGCUCUAGUAAGGUACACAUCAAUAACAUGUAUAUCACAUAUACCUUUGUUCACCUUGCCAUCCUUCUUAUCCGCCAAAUACUUGGGGCAGUUCCGCUUCCAGUGACCAGUCUGCUUGCAGUAGAAGCACUCAGUUUCAGGCUUAGGUCCAGAUCUGGGUUUCUUCUCUUGAGCAGCAACUUGCUUGCUUUUCUUCUUGAAGUUCCCCUUCUUCUUCCCUUUGCCCUUCUUCUUGAAACUAGUGGUCUUAUUGACCAUCAACACUUGAUGCUCCUUCUUGAUUUCUACCUCCGCAGCCUUUAGCAUUGCGAAGAGCUCGGGCAUAGUCUUUACUAACCCUUGCAUAUUAUAGUUCAUCACGAAGCCUUUGUAGCUUGGUGGCAGUGAUUGAAGAAUUCUGUCAAUGACACAAUCAUCCGGAAGAUUAACUCCCAGCUGACUCAAGUGAUUGUAAUACCCAGACAUUCUGAGUAUGUGCUCACUGACAGACCCAUUCUCCUCCAUUUUGCAGCUAUAGAACUUAUUGGAGACUUCAUAUCUCUCAAUCCGGGCAUUCUGUUGGAAUAUUAACUUCAACUCCUGGAACAUCUCAUAUGCUCCAUGGUUCUCAAACCGACGUUGAAGUCCCGGUUCUAAGCCGUAAAGCAUGGCACACUGAACUAUCGAGUAGUCAUCAGCUUUGCUCUGCCAGACGUUCAUAACAUCUGGCGUUGCUCCAGCAGCAGGCCUGACACCUAGCGGUGCAUCCAGGACGUAACUCUUCUGUGCAGCAAUGAGGAUAAUCCUCAAGUUACGGACCCAGUCCGUGUAAUUGCUACCAUCAUCUUUCAACUUUGCUUUCUCAAGGAACGCAUUAAAAUUCAACGGAACAACAGCACGAGCCAUCUAUCUACAAUCAACAUAAACAAGCAAGAUACUAUCAGGGACUAAGUUCAUGAUAAAUUUAAGUUCAAUUAAUCAUAUUACUUAAGAACUCCCACUUAGAUAGACAUCCCUCUAAUCAUCUAAGUGAUCACGUGAUCCAAAUCAAACUAAACCAUAACCGAUCAUCACGUGAAAUGGAUUAGUUCUCAAUGGUGAACAUCAUCAUGUUGAUCAUAUCUACUAUAUGAUUCACGCUCGACCUUUCGGUCUCCGUGUUCCGAGGCCAUAUCUGCAUAUGCUAGGCUCGUCAAGUAUAACCCGAGUAUUCUGCGUGUGCAAAACUGGCUUGCACCCGUUGUAGAUGGACGUAGAGCUUAUCACACCCGAUCAUCACGUGGUGUCUGGGCACGACGAACUUUGGCAACGGUGCAUACUCGGGGAGAACACUUCUUGAUAAUUUAGUGAGAGAUCAUCUUAUAAUGCUACUGUCAAUCAAAGCAAGAUAAGAUGCAUAAAAGAUAAACAUCACAUGCAAAUCAAUAUAAGUGAUAUGAUAUGGUCAUCAUCAUCUUGUGCUUCAUGAUCUCCAUCUUUGCAGCACCAUCAUGAUUACCAUCGUCACCGGCGCGACACCUUGAUCUCCAUCGUAGCAUCGUUGUCGUCUCGCCAAUCUUAUGCUUCUACGACUAUCGCUACCGCUUAGUGAUAAAGUAAAGCAUUACAGGGCGAUUGCAUUGCAUACAAUAAAGCGACAACCAUAUGGCUCCUGCCAGUUGCCGAUAACUCGGUUACAAAACAUGAUCAUCUCAUACAAUAAAAUAUAGCAUCACGUCUUGACCAUAUCACAUCACAUCAUGCCCUGCAAAAACAAGUUAGACGUCCUCUACUUUGUUUGUUGCAAGUUUUACGUGGCUGCUACGGGCUUAAGCAAGAACUCAUCUUACCUACGCAUCAAAACCACAACGAUAGUUCGUCAAAUAGACUCCGUUUUAACCUUCUCAAGGACCGGGCGUAGCCACACUUGGUUCAACUAAAAUUGGUGAGAUGUCUCCCGCAAGCCAUCUGUGUGCAAAGCACGUCGAGGGAACCGGUCUCGCGUAAGCGUACGCGUAAGGUUGGUCCGGGUCAUCUCAUCCAACAAUACCGCCGAACCAAAGUAUGACAUGCUAGUAGGCAGUAUGACUUGUAUCGUCCACAACUCACUUGUGUUCUACUCGUGCAUAUAACAUCAAACCAUAAAAAACCUGGCUCGGAUGCCACUGUUGGGGAACGUAGUAAUUUCAAAAAAUUUCCUACGCACACGCAAGAUCAUGGUGAUGCAUAGCAACGAGAGGGAGAGUGUUGUCUACAUACCCUUGUAGACCCGAAGCGAAAGCGAUCACAACGUAGAGGAAGUAGUCGUACGUUCUCCUCGCGAUCCGACCGAUCCCGGCGCCGUUACUCCGACGCCCCCGAGUUCUUGGCACACGUUCAGCUCGAUGACGCUCUUCGGGCUCCGAUCCAGCAAAGCUCCGGAGAGAGAGUUCCGUCAGCACGACGGCGUGGUGACGAUCUUGAUGAUCUACCGGCGCAGGGCUUCGCCUAAGCACUGCAACGAUAUAUUCGAGGUGUAAUAUGGUGGAGGGGGGCACCGCACACGGCUAAGGAACGAUCACGAAGAUCAACUUAUGUGUUCUAGGGUGCCCCCCUGCCCCCGUAUAUAAAGGAGCAAGGGGGAGGGGCUGGCCGGCCAAGCCUUGGCGCGCCAGGGAGUCCUACUCCCUCCGGGAGUAGGAUUCCCCCCCCCCCCAAUCCUACUUGGACUAGGACUUGCCAAGGGGGAAAGAGGAAGAGAGGGGGCCGGCCACCCUCUCCUAAUCCUAAUAGGACUAGGGGAGGGGGAGGCGCGCGGCUAGCCCUAGGGCAGCCCCUUUCUCCUUUUUCCUAAGGCCCAAUAUGGCCCAUAUGUUUCCCGGGGGGGUUCCGGUAACCUCCCGGUACUCCGGUAAAUUCCCGUUUUCACUCGGAACCAUUCCGAAGUCCAAACAUAGGCUUCCAAUAUAUCAAUCUUUACGUCUCGACCAUUUCGAGACUCCUCGUCAUGUCCGUGAUCACAUCCGGGACUCCGAACUCCUUCGGUACAUCAAAAUACACAAACUCAUAAUAACCGUCAUCGAAACCUUAAGCGUGCGGACCCUACGGUUCGAGAACAAUGUAGACAUGACCGAGACACGUCUCCGGUCAAUAACCAAUAGCGGGACCUGGAUGCCCAUAUUGGCUCCUACAUAUUCUACGAAGAUCUUUAUCGGUCAGACCGCAUAACAACAUACGUUAGUUCCCUUUGUCAUCGGUAUGUUACUUACCCGAGAUUCGAUCGUCGGUAUCCAAUACCUAGUUCAAUCUCGUUACUGGUAAGUCUCUUUACUCGUUCCGUAAUACAUCAUCUCACAACUAACUCAUUAGUUGUAGUGCUUGCAAGGCUUAUGUGAUGUGCAUUACCGAGAGGGCCCAGAGAUACCUCUCCGACUAUCGGAGUGACAAAUCCUAAUCUCGAAAUACGCCAACCCAACAUCUACCUUUGGAGACACCUGUAGUACUCCUUUAUAAUCACCCAGUUACGUUGUGACGUUUGGUAGCACCCAAAGUGUUCCUCCGGUAAACGGGAGUUGCAUAAUCUCAUAGUCAUAGGAACAUGUAUAAGUUAUGGAUGAAAGCAAUAGCAACACACUAAACGAUCAGGUGCUAAGCUAAUGGAAAUGGGUCAUGUCAAUCAGAUCAUUCAACCAAUGAUGUGAUCUCGUUAAUCAAAUGACAACUCCUUUGUCUAUGGUUAGGAAACUUAACCAUCUUUGAUUAACGAGCUAGUCAAGUAGAGGCAUACUAGUGACACUCUGUUUGUCUAUGUAUUCACACAUGUAUUAUGUUUCCGGUUAAUACAAUUCUAGCAUGAAUAAUAAACAUUUAUCAUGAAAUAAGGAAAUAAAUAAUAACUUUAUUAUUGCCUCUAGGGCAUAUUUCCUUCAGUCAUCGGCGACCGGAUCGUCCGUGAUGAAGCAGCCAGUAGUCGCGCUGAGCGCUCCCCAAAAGCCUUAUCACCCUUCUCCCGUACAGGACUCAAAAUGUGCGGUUUUGGAAGCCUACUGUCCCGACGUGCCGUGCAUGCCGCAAGCCGGGAUGAGGAAGAUAGUAGCAGCUCAGAGAUGGAACCAAUAGCGAGGGAAGGAGUAGUUCUAGUGCGUCUCUCUGGGAGGAGCGACCUCCCUUUUAUAGGCGCAAGAGAAGGAGGCGAGAGGGCAGCGACGGGAGGCGAAACGAAGAGACGGAGAUGAAGCGAACAACCAGCGGCCGAAGGGCUGCACCGUUCGCAUUCGAACUCCACUUUCGCAAAAAUCUUUUUAGCUUCUGCGUGACCUUUCGUAUACCCGUAGUGCGUGGCAAAAAUUUAGACAUCGGCUCAGCUCAUUCCCGCAACCCGCGGCACGGCGCGUCGUAACGAGGCGUGACGUGGCGUGGCGAGGCGGGCGGCGGAGGAGGAGCACACGUGGAUGUCCCUCUUGUUCUCAUGCUCAUACAAGUGGGGAAAGAACCUCCCUUAUAAUGAGGUCCAACUCCCUCUAAACUAGCAAUGUUGGACUAAACUUUAGUUCCACCUCUUGCCUUGCACAAAUGGGUUGCGUGGGCCUCUAGGAUUUAUUAGGAAUUUCUGAAAUUGCUAUUGGGCUAGGCCCAAAAUAGACAAAAUUCCAACACUCGCCCACCAGAUUCCAGAGGCACACAAAAUUUGCCUUUGGUUCCAAAACACUGUUUUAUAUACCGGUACUGCAGUGGAGACUGUUAAGUUGAACUUCCACCUAAAACUCUAUGCUACACUAUAGCCAAAGCGACUCAAGAUCUUUUCCACAUAGUGAGAUUGAAGCAAUGUAAUCCCACCAUCAUCGUCUCUCAACAACUUGAUAUUAAGAAUGACAUCAGCCAAUCCUAAAUCCUUCAUCUCAAAACAGCGAGAUUGGAAAUCCUUGACCUCCUUAAUAACAUUCAGAUUUGUUCCGAAGAUCACUAUGUCGUCAACAUACAAGCAAAGGAUAACUCCCUCACCUCCACCAUGGCGAUAGUACACACAUUUGUCAGCUUUGUUUACAACAAAGCCUGCAGCUGUUAAAGUUCUUUCGAACUUCUCAUGCCACUGUUUAGGUGCUUGGUUGAGUCCAUACAAAGACUUUAGCAACUUGCACACUUUUCCUUCCUGACCAUCUAGUACAAACCCAUCUGGUUGUUCCAUAUAAAUUUCCUCGUCCAACUCUCCAUUUAAGAAAGCAGUCUUAACAUCCAUUUGAUGAACGAGAAGACCAUGCGAGGCAGCUAGUGAAAGUUGAACUCGAAUAGUGGUCAGUCGAGCCACAGGUGAGUAAGUACCAAAGAAGUCUUCACCUUCCUUUUGGGUAUAACCCUUAGCCACGAACCGAGCCUUGUACUUUUCAAUAGUACCAUCAGGCCUAAGCUUCUUCUUGAAUACCCAUUUGCAUCCUAUAGGUUUGCACCCAUAAGGACGAUCAGUUAUCUCCCAAGUUUUAUUCGCCAAGAUGGAAUCCAUCUCGCUACAAACCGCUUCCUUCCAGUAGUCAGCAUCUUCAGAUGCAUAAGCCUCUGAAAUAGAACUGGGAGUGUCAUCUAUGAGAUACACAAGAAAAUCAUCACCGAAGGACUUUGCAGUCCUUUGUCUCUUUCUCCUAGUAGGAACUUCAUUGUUCUCCUCCACAGGACUUUCAAAGUGUUCCAUCGAAAUGGCAGGUUCAGUAAUUGUAACUGGUUCUAGAUUCAAUGAACUAGGCAUCUCCUAAUUAGAUGAGGUAGCCAUAUCCUUCAUGGGAAAUAUAUCUUCGAAGAAAGUCGCAUCAUUCGACUCCAUGAUCGUACCGACAUGCAUGUCAGGUACCUCAGAUUGUACAACCAAAAUAUAUAACCAAUCCUAUGAAAAGCAUAUCCCAGGAAAACACAAUCCACGGUCUUUGGUCCAAGCUUCCGCUUCUUUGGAAUUGGAACAAUGACUUUUGCCAAACAACCCCAUGUUCGUAGACAAGAGAGUUUUAAUCUUUUUUUCUCCCAUUCCUCGAAUGGAGUUAUCACUUUAUUCUUUGUGGGAACACGGUUUAGGACAUGACAUGCAGUCAAUAUCGCCUCUCCCCAUCAUGCCUUGGAGAGACCCGAUGUGUCUAACAUGGCAUUAACCAAAUCAGUUAUAGUACGGUUCUUUCUUUCGGCCACCCCAUUUGACUGAGGUGAAUAGGGAGGCGUCCUCUCAUGGAUUAUACCAUGUUCCGCACAAAAAGCAUCAAAUUCACUGGAAAAAUACUCUCCACCACGGUCGGACCUAAGCCUCUUGAUUUUUCAAUCAAGUUGGUUUUCCACUUCAGCUUUAUAGAUCUUGAAAAAGUUCGAAGCCUCAUCCUUAGAUUUCAAAAGAUACACACGAAAGUAUCUAGUAGAGUCGUCAAUUAACGUCAUGAAAUAUUUCUUUCACCUUUUGUCAAAACACCAUUCAUUUCACAUAGAUCUGAAUGUAUGAGUUCUAGUGGUGCAAGAUUUCUCAUUGUCGUGUGAGACUUACGAGGUUGCUUAGCUUGUACACACACUUGACACUUAGAUCCCUUGACAGUGGUGAAACUAGGGAUUAAGUUCAACUUCGCUCGUCGCGACAUGCAACCAAAGUUAACAUGACAAAGACGUGAAUGCCACACAUUUGAUUCACUAUUGUUGUAAAUAUGAUUAACAACUUUAUUGCAAAAGUCUGAUAAGGAUAAACGAAACAGGCCUCCUGACUCAUAGCCUUUAGCAACAAAGGUUCCAUACUUGGAUAUUACAAAUUUAUUCGACUCAAAGACAAGCUUGUAGCCAUCUCUACACAGAAGAGAUCUGCUAACAAGAUUUUUAUUGACGGAGGGGACAUAAUGCACAUUCUUCAGCCAUACGAUCUUCCCCGAAGUAAACUUCAGAUCGACCUUGCCAACACCACGAACAGAAGCACUUGAACCGUUGCCCAUCAGCACGGUUGAAGUCCCUGCGGUAUGAUAAGACGAAAACAUGAAAAUAUCACCGCAUACAUGCACAUUAGCACCCGUGUCAAUCAACCAAUCAGGAGAAUGACAUACUGAAAGAAUAGUGGGAAAUAUACCAUACCCAGCAUCCUUCAUGUCAGUGUCUCCAAUGACAACAUUAGCGGUCUUGCCGCAUUUCCCAGGAUGACACUUGUCAUAGCGAUUAGGGCAACCAGGAGCCCAAUGAUCAGGAUUCCCACACACAUGACAAGCACCUUUCUUCUUGUCAUUCUUCUUCUUGAAGUUCGUGUGCUGCACAACCUUGUUCUUCCCAUCAAACUUUGCUUUACCAUCAAACUUGCCCUUGUUCUUGGACUUGUGGGGCUGGAUGUUCUUCUUCUUUACCAGAUUGGCACUAGAUCCUCCCUCAAUACCUCGAGCACGUGUAUCCUUUGCUCUCGCCUUUUCUUCCACAUCAAGAGUGCCAAUGAGAUCCGGGACGGAAAACUCCUGUCUCUUAUGCUUCAGUAAGGUAGCAAAAUUCCUCCAUGAAGGAGGAAGCUUAGUGAUGAUACCUCCGGCAACAAACUUGUCCGGUAGCAUACAACUGAAGUGCUCAAAUUCUCUAGCAAAUGACUGUAUCUCAUGAGCUUGCUCAACCAUGGAGUGCUCUUCAGUCAUCCUGUAAUCAUAGAAUUGCUCCAUGAUGUACAGCUCAGUGCCAGCAUCCGAGACCCCAAACUUGGCCUCGAGUGCAUCCCACAUAUCUUUUCCAUUAUCAAUUGACGCAUAAGCAUCAACUAUGUUCUCACCAAGAACACUCAAAAGAGCAGCCUUAAACAGAGUAUCCAUUUUCUGAAAAGCUUGUGCCUGUUGAGCAUCAAGCUCUUCUUCAGGUUUGCCGAGAGUGGCGUCAUAGCAACUCAUGGUUUGAAACCAUAAGACUGCUCUUACGUGCCACCUCUUAUAGUGGAUACCCUCAAACAUAGGAGGUCUCAUGGAAGCAACAAAACCACUCGGAGUAAAUUGCCUAUAAUAAGGUUUUUGGAUUGUUGGAAAUAUGAUCAAUUUACUGAAUAAUUUUAUUAACAGAAAUACUAGAUAAAGCAUGACCAGAAAAGUAGUGAUAAAACAAGCCAUGCGAUUUGACAAAGAGAAGGUAAACAACAUCUUCAUAUAUGAAUUGUAACUAAACAUAUCUAGAGCAGCCAGUAUAGCAAGUUGCAUAUAUGAAAUAGAAUCUAACAUAUCUAGGGCAAAUACUAGAACAAGGAACUGUAGCAGGACCUCUAAUAGAAAGGAGAAGAACACGUACGGGACAGCAGCAGCAGAAGCGCUGGACUUGGGGUCGGUGCCCUCGCGUGCCAUGUCGGCGAGCAGGUCGUGGACGUCGGGGAAGUAGUCGUCGGCGACCGGAUCGUCCGUGAUGAAGCAGCUAGUAGUCGCGCUGAGCGCUCCCCAAAAACCUUAUCACCCUUCUCCCGUACAGGACUCAAAAGGUGCGGUUUCGGAGGCCUACUGUCCCGACGUGCUGUGCACGCCGCAAGCCGGGAUGAGGAAGAUAGCAGCAGCUCAGAGAUGGAACCGAUGGCGAGGGAAGGAGUAGUUCUGGUGCGUCUCUCUGGGAGGAGCGACCUCCCUUUUAUAGGCGCAAGAGAAGGAGGCGAGAGGGCAGCGACGGGAGGCGAAACGAAGAGACGGAGAUGAAUCGAACAGCCAGCUUCGCGGCGCGGCAGGCGGCGGAGGAGGAGCGCGCGUGGAUGUCCCUCUUGUUCUCAUGCUCAUACAAAUGGGGAAAGAACCUCCCUUAUAAAGAGGUCCAACUCCCUCUAAACUAGCAAUGUGGGACUAAACUUUAGUUCCACCUCUUUCCUUGCACAAAUGGGCUGCGUGGGCCUCUAGGAUUUAUUAAGAAUUUCUGAAACUGCUAUUGGGCUAGGCCAAAAAUAGACAAAAUUCCAGCAAAUGUCUCGGUGAUGUUGAUGAUGGAAGGCGAUGAAGAAAUCUCCUGGGUAGUGGGGAACGAUAUUGAAGAACUCCUUGCCGAUGCGGGUGCGUGACUGGAUUCGGCGAUGUUGGCGGCAAACAAGGGAGAACGGCGCCCACACAUCCAAACAAUUGCAUGCUUUGUAGGUGGGCCGCCUGCUGCUCCAAGGCGUGCGUGGUCGCCAUGACCACGACGCUCUCCACCGGGUGGUAUGGAGGGUCCCCUAGGCGGGGCAUGGCUGUCAGGGGCACGAGGUGCUGUCGGGCAAGAGGGAAAUGUGUCGAUGUUGCUGUGGGGUGCGAAGCGCACUCACAAUCCUUGGCCUUGCGCCUACUUCUGGAGCAGAGAUUGCAUCUGAUGGGGUCUCUGCAAUUGAUGGCAAUAUGUCCCCUUGUAUGGCAACGAAGACGGCGCUGCUUCUCCCACUUUGGUCUUGAAAUCGAGCGAGGCUGCACGCCAUGAAGACCAGUUGGAUGGUAGUUGCGGCUUGAAUGCGCGAUACUGCUAGAGGAGUUCCUCCACCAAUACUUUGGCUUGACCAGCUCCGAGCGAACAUGUCGAGCUGGAUCUCCCCCUCUGGCAGGAUCUGGCGCCCAGUCGCGACAACAGGGCACAAGCGCGCACGCACGACAUUGACAAAGGAGGGAACAUCGCGCUCGUAAUGAGCAGGCUGCGGGUGUCGCGUUGCCAACAGAGGCAUUGAAUCCCCAUCCUUGAAUGCGGCCGUUAGGAGCUUCGGUUGAGCUGGCAUUCGAGAGGAGUGGCGUCUCCGGGACAAAAGAUGAACCUGACGACGUCAGGCGACGAGUGCUGGGAGGCGGGAUCAGGAUUCGUUAGGGUGGCGGUAGUGGAGUGGGUAAACCAGGGUCUGGAUGAGGAGGCCAUCACAGGGGUAGCAAUGGAGGCCGAGGAUGCGUGGGACGCGGCCACCGGAGCGGCGAGUCACAAGGUGCAGGNNNNNNNNNNNNNNNNNNNNNNNNNNNNNNNNNNNNNNNNNNNNNNNNNNNNNNNNNNNNNNNNNNNNNNNNNNNNNNNNNNNNNNNNNNNNNNNNNNNNNNNNNNNNNNNNNNNNNNNNNNNNNNNNNNNNNNNNNNNNNNNNNNNNNNNNNNNNNNNNNNNNNNNNNNNNNNNNNNNNNNNNNNNNNNNNNNNNNNNNNNNNNNNNNNNNNNNNNNNNNNNNNNNNNNNNNNNNNNNNNNNNNNNNNNNNNNNNNNNNNNNNNNNNNNNNNNNNNNNNNNNNNNNNNNNNNNNNNNNNNNNNNNNNNNNNNNNUGAGCCAUAGAUGACAAAAGAAACAAAACUAUCAAUUUUUUUUGCAUAUAUACUUUUAGCCUACACGUCAUGGCUUCAUACCAACUCUACCUUCUAUGUCCAAAAAGCUGGCUUGCGGACUCUGGUCUCCUCUGUACUACUGUACUACUCACUGUUGGCGUCUAUAUAUGCAACUAAUAUAAAUUACAAAACAAAACAAAACCCUUUCCGCGAGACAAAGUUACACGGGCACAAGUGCAACCUGCAAGAUCAUGGCGGGAGGCCAUUUUAUUUCAGAUAUGCUAAAUGCCAUGGCCGUGUACAGGUCCAGUGUCCUCUCCUCACCUGUUAGAUUAGCCGUUCACGGUUCACCCUUCAAAUAAUCCUCUUAUCUCCACUUCUAGUUGCUGACCAGUAUAGUAGCACUUCUUUUGUUUCUUCUCUCCCACAAAUUUUCGCCUUAAUAGUGAAAAAGGCGUACCUAAAAGUCGUUUUCCCUUUCCCUGCAGUGCAGAUAAGGACACCUCAUACGGUGGAACAAUGAAAUCCACGAUCUCCUGCCGCAGUUGAUACCUGAGUUCCGCUGUGACCUUCCAUGUCAUCUGGCGAUUACAGGUGGCAAGAAAUUCGGCAUUAAACUCCUCCAAGUUUAGACGGUUCAGAGCAGCCCAGCACUCGUCCAAGUAGCUCUUCUUGUACCGCUGGAUCAUUGAAGUGAGCCUACUCGCCAGUUCGUCACUGACAAAAGAUGCUCUUUGACGCCGCACCAUUUGCAGAACAUCAAAUGUGUUAUUCAGGAGGAAUAUGCAUUUCCCACCCUUUUCACUUUGGCGGAUGAAUUCUGCAUCUUUCUCGAGCUUGGAUUCCCAACAAUCAACCAAGUGGGAGUAAGGGUAAAUAGCCAGGGCUUGUAUGAGAAGGUCAUUUGCUGGAUGAAUUGUUGAUUCGUCGCUGCUACCGUUGUCCACGACUAUUCGUUCCCAAUCAUUCACCAUCAUCUGAGCUGGCCUGUUCAAAGGCAGGUCCGUCGCACUGUUAAGAUAAGAACCAUAUAUAUAAGAUAAUUGAAAUCGCGUAAUUGUAGUAGUACUUGUUGGGGAAGAAAAAUCAGUUCGCCCUUAUUACAAGAUUUUGCAUGAUGAGGAAGAAAUUAGUAGGAGUACCACUAAGUAGAGUAGUUAGCUGAUCUCACCGCGGCUAGUCCUCCCGCAUCUACUAAUCCCCGUAGCAAUAUAGGGGCGGCACGGCGACGCGAGCACCAGCGGCGAGAGGCGAGCAGCGGCCGCGGCAAGCAACGCAGCGAGGCGCGGCGAGAGGCGCGCUGUAGGACGAGCCGAGCACGCGCGUAGCGGUGGCGUAUAGUUGCUGGGCGCGGUGAGAGGCGCGCUGUACGACGAGCCGAGCACGCGCGUAGCGGUGGAGUAUAGUUGCUGGGCGCGGUGAGAGGCGCGCUGUACGACGAGCCGAGCACGCGCGUACCGGUGGCGUAUAGUUGCUGGGCGCGGCGAGAGGCGUGCUGUACGGCGACGAGAGGACGCGCGGACCGGUGGCUUAGUUGCUCGGCGGCGAGAGGCGCGCUGUACGGCGAGGCGAGCACGCGCGUACCGGUGGCGUAGCUGCUGGGCGCGCCGAGAGGCGUGAGGUACGGCGACGCGAGGACGCGCGGACCGGUGGCGUAGCUGCUGGGCGCGGCGAGAGGCGCACUGUACGGCGAGGCGAGCACGCGCGUACCGGUGGCGUAGUUCCUGGGCGCGGCGAGAGGCGUGCGGUACGGCGACGCGAGGACGCGCGGAGCGAUGCCAUAGUUGCUCGGUACGGCGAGAUGCGCGCCGUAGGGCGAGGCGAGCACGCGCGGACCGGUCGCAUAGUUGCUGGGCGCGGUGAGAGGCGCGCUGUACGACGAGGCGAGCAUGCGCCGAGCGAUGCCAUAAUUGUUCGGCACGGCGAGAUGCGCGCUGUAUGGCGGGGCGAGCAUGCGCAGAGCGAUGCCAUAGUUGCUCGGUACGGCCAGAUGCGCGCCGUACGGCGAGGCGAGCACGCGCGGACCGGUGGCGUAGUUGCUCGGCGGCGAGAGGCGCGCUGUACGGCGAGGCGAGCACGCGCGUACCGGUCGCGUAGUUCCUGGGCGCGGCGAGAGGCGCGCUGUACGGCGAGGCGAGCACGCGCGUACCGGUCGCGUAGUUCCUGGGCGCGGCGAGAGGCGAGCACGUCCAGCGCGGCGAGAGCUGCGGCAGUUGCGGACGCGCAACUAUGCUGGGCGAGCUGCGACCCGGCAAUCCGCUGCUGUGGCGGACGCGCACCUACGGUAUGCUGGGCGAGCAGCGAACCGGCAAGCUGCGGCUUUCGCGGACGCGCACCUGUGGCACCGCCGAGUGCGGAGAGCACGUUCUGCAGCGAGCGCGGCGCGACGAGCAGCGUGCUGGGCGACAUGGCAAGGCACUCAGGGGGCGGCAACCGACGCGGCGGCGUCAACUACGCCGCGACUGGGCUGGGUUCUAGGCCAUGCUCGACGCGACCGGCGAAGAAGGGAGGCGCGCAGACCGGGUGCCGGCCGGGGAGGGGAAAGCAUAGUAUCGAGUGGAACAAAAAGAGCACUGGUGAUUGAUUUGAUUCACAUACGUACCUGCAGAUGGAACCGGCGGCGGCAUCGAGGCGUCCUCGGAACCUUCCAGUUCCAUCCCCUGCCGCUUCCAUUGGUUCAGCCGGGCCGGGUUGGUUCGCCGUCGUUGUGGAUGCCGCUGCUCGAACCGCUGUCGCCGGGGUUGCACUUGCAGCGCACGAUCGAUGGGGGGCGGAGUUGCGGACGGCGGCGGCUUCGAAUUUUGUUGGAAGGAUCUCUUGAUGAGAUUUGGCGCGCGGGCUCUUUUCUAUAUAGGCUUUGCAGAUUAGCUGAAGCGGACGCUUGGACGACAGCGACCCAGGACGCGUCCGCGAGAUCGGCUGUGUAUCCCUGCAUUGCAGCCCCUCUUGUGGCACACCCCGACAUUCAUCAUACGUAAAAACUGUUUAUUAUUCGUAGACAUUAAACUCAGAACAUAGCUCCUCCAAAAAAAAGGACAAAUCAAUGAUACAUGUGGUUGCUGAUUUAUUAUUUUAAAUAAUUUGCGGUGACUGGUUAGUGGUAGUUAAAACUGUGUGAAUUAUAUCCCCGAAAUUCCAAACGAAACAUGUUUUUGAUCAGUUUCUUUUUUCAGAGGGUGCUCAGAAUAUGGACUUGCAUCUCACAAAAUACUGGAAAUAAUACUUCCUCCGUCCCAAAAUUCUUGUCUUAAAUUUGUCUAGAUAUAGAUUUAUCUAAUAAUAAAAUAUAACUUGAUACAUUCGUAUUUAGACAAAUCUAUGACAAGAAUUUCGAGACGGGGGAGUAAUACGUUGUACGUCUCUAAACAAGGAUGUGCCACAGGCUGGGUUGCACGUGAUCGGUUGCAACGGAUACGCCAUUUGUUGUGAGUUGUGCGAACACUGCGGUCACCGCUUUAUCCCACCUUUCUUCCCGUUCCCGUUGCCUUUCCCGUUCCCGGACAAACAUCGCUAUACUGUAUAUUUUACAAUAAUCUCCUGCUAAUCGUGCGCCGAGGAAUCGUUCCCGACGAUAAAUGCUACUGUACUACUCUAUAGACGUUUGGCUGACAAAGCAGGGUAUAAUACUCCAGUAUAUUGCAAGAUUUGUAGAUUGCUGAUCCCACUUGCCGCGGGAUGUGUACAGACUAUGCUUUCGCCUCCGCGCCGGAUGGAUUGGUGCAUGGCAGGCCAGGACACGUGGCAUGAGACGAGAGCUGAGCGUGCGUUGUUGACCUGCUGGGGUCAAAGCGCCAACGGCUGGUGAUUGCAAUGUUUUUCUUCUUUAGAACCUGUUCGGUAACCACGGAGGGCAGAGAAAUGAGAGUUUGCACAAGGAUACCUGUGGAGGGAGUAGGCAUGUAAAGUUAAUUUUUAGUUCCAUUUCUUUGUCGGUACUCCCCCAGUUCCUUUAUAUAAGGUGUAUUUGUUUUUACAAAAGUCAAAUGCGUGCAUGUUUGAUCAAUUUUUUAAGCAAAUAUAUCAGUAAAUAUCCACGGUAGGAAAUUUAUGUCAUUUCAACCAUCAUGAAAAGUAGUUUCAUAUUUUUUCUAUUAGGUAUUGCAGAUAUUGUUAUUUUAUUCUAUAAUCUUGGUCAACAAUUCAAAUGAUUGACUUGUACGGAAAUCGGUACACCUUAUAUUCUGAAAUGGAGGGAGUAUAUGAUAAGAAUUAGAGUUGGAUGAAACUCUGCUAUAUCAUGGAAUGUGAAUUUUUACUCCCAUUUCCUUGUUUGGCUCCCUCAACUCUUAUUUCCCUUCCUACUUAAAUUCCCAUUCCUUGCAAUCAAACAAUGGACUUUUAAUCUCCAUGCCCUCAAUGAAAUUUCAUUUUUCAUCUCUAAUUUCCAAGAACCAAACAUGAUGUUAUGGAAAAAGAAGAGAAAUCAUCCUACUCUCUCCCUGUUCAUUUUUUUCUAGGGCUCUCGCCCUGUUGAUUGUGGAAUGCUAUCGACCUGUUGAAGGGUCGAAGAAUGUGUCACAAAAUACAACACCUUUGUAGAUGUAGCAUUGCUCUAAGAAUAAAGCACAAAUGGGUAAUCUACACGAUUGAUUUACAGAGAAGCUUAGAUUACAGCACCUCCAAGCAGUAAUCUAUGGCUAUCCCCUACCUCAGUCGCGGUCUCAAUCCCACAUGUGUCAAAUCCUCCCGUGAAAAAAAGUGCCGAACACUGCCUCGAAUGUGACACGAUGGAGGAAAGGCCAAACCUAAGGGCAUUUCCAACACCGUGCAGCAAAAUCGUUGCAAUCCGGACCACGCCGCCCAAACAUGUUAGGUCAUCCAACGUCGUGCACUAAAUGUUUGUGGUGUAGUCCGGACAUCCAGAAUCCCUAACAGGAAACAAAAAUGAGGAGGUUUGUGACCUCCGGACCACUUUCAUGUAAGCCUCCAACACCCACAGUCCACACAAAAACCUCACCUGGAGCCUCAAGUUUUUCGCUCCACCCCUCCCUCUUACUUUGUAUUUGUUUAGUCCGAGACUGUAGUAACCGUUAUACCACCCACUCCGCCGCCCAGGCCCAGUUGGACCUCUGCCGCUCCACCUGGGCGCCAGCCCCGACUUGCAUACGCAUAUCUUGUCCACCUCUGGUCCGAUCGUCCCUACACAUUGCCAUCUAUGGAGGUCACUACGCCCGGCAAGUGUUCGGCCAAAUGUCAUAGCCAAAUUUAUUACUCUCGCCGAUCCAUAUUACUUGUCUCUCAAAUGAAUGUAUUUGGCACUGAAACAAGUCUACAUACAUCCGUUUCAACGACAAGUAAUAUGGAUCGGAGGGAGUAACAUUUAUCUUAUUUACUAUGAAGCAAAAUAAUGGAUUCGUAUGUGGAGUACUUCUAUGUUGAGUCCAUUGAUACGUAGUCGUCAAAUGAGGACGAAUAUGAGGACGAAAUGGCGAUGAUUCAUGCGGUUAUUGCAAAAUUCAAUCAUGCGUAGGAGCAUGUUCUCAAUUUCAAGAGAUCAAUAAAGGGACAUCGAGUGAUGAAACGGAACUGGAACGGGGUCAUAUGAUGUUGAUGGACAAAUACUUUAUCCCCAUGCGCUACUCGGGUCCUAUUUUCACCGUCGAUUCCGGAUGAGGCGAACUGUGUUUGAUUACCUCUACAAUGGUGUCAAAGAUUGUGAUGACAACUUCGUCUCAAAGAAGAAUGUCUUUGGAACAUUUGAUUCUCUAGUUACCAUAAGUGCACAACUGCAUUAAGGAUGCUUGACUAUGGCACAACCACAGAUUCGUGGGACGAGUACUUUCGGAUGUACGAAAGCACAUGUCUCGAAGUCAUGUGGUCAAGGUGUCUGGACAAGAGUACUUGAGAGAACCAACCUUCUAUGCCACCACAUGGCUCAUCGCACUGUGGAAAGUAGGAGGGUGGCCAUGUAUGCUCGGAUCCUUGGAUUGCAUGCGCUGGUAAAGGAAGAAUUGCCCAUAUGCUCUACAAAGACAAUAUCAGGUCAUUGUAAGAAGCCCACCAUCAUUUUUGAAGUAGUUGCGUCACAAGACCUCUGGAUUUGGCACUCUUUCUUUGGGUUGCUCGGGUCUCAGAAUGACAUCAACAUGUUGGAACGGUCUCCAUUGUUUGCAAGAUUUUGUGUGGGAAAAGAUCCUCUCUGUGCAACUAUACCAUCAAUGGUCAUGACUACAACAUGGGCUAUUAUCUUUGCGAUGAUAUCUAUCCUUAGUGGGCAACCUUCAUCAAUACUAUCUCUGAUCCAAGUGGUGAGAAAAGAUCUCACUUUACCCGAAGAUAACAAGGAGCUAGAAAGAAUGUGGAGAGGGCAUUUCGAGUGCAAUGAAACCGGUUUGCAGUCAUUCGAGGACCUAAAGAAAUAUGGGAUCUAAAGACAUUGUGGGAAGUAAUGACAAUUUUUGUGGUCAGGCACAACAUGAUUGUGUAGGUUAAGGGUGACGGGUUCACAUGGUCUAAAAUUUGAGCACAUGAUUGAUCCAAUCCAACUUCCAUAGUAGAAUUCAGAGACGUUUGACGAAUUUAUCCAAAUGCAUCAAGAGAUUCUUCAUCGGGCAACUCAUGAGCAACUUUAAAACAAUCCGGUUGAGCAUUUGUGGAUGCUUCGAGGGGAGAAUUGAAAAAUAUUGCCGAAUAAGUUGAAUAAAUUUGAACUAUUUUAAAGCAAUACUUCAUAUUUGGAUUGUAAUAUUUAUAUUUGAAAUAUUCUUGCAUUGGAAUAUUUGCACAUCAUGAUUAUGAAUGAAUGGUGAUAUUUAUCUUCUAUUUAUUUUGAGUGCUUUGGACAAAGAAAACACAGAGAUAACUAUCUGGUACACUGGGUUGGAUUCCACGCAUCUACAACUGGACUUCGCAAAUCCGGCCUCCUAUAUAAGUCCGCGGAGGCGUUCGUGCGAGUUCGCGGACAGCGACAGUCUGCCACUCACAUAUCCUCAUUUGUAACCAUAACACUCACUUUUAGAACCGCAUCCUCAAAUCCAUGCAAACACAUGCACGUCGAUUAUUAUACACAAACAAUGAAUAGUACACACACAUAUAAAAAUUAUUCAUGCAUAAAGAUACAUAGUUCAAACAUCAAAUUUGUUCACAGUGCAAUGAAACAUAUAAAUGCAUAGUUCAUUGAUUUCUAGCAUUGAUUCACAUAUGCCCCACAAGAUCAUUGAGAAGUUGAAUGUGCACAUGUUGAUCUCGAAGUUCUCCAUGCAAAUCAGUAAAAUUGACAGCAUGCUCUGCCUCUUGUUCCGGGAGGCGAAACCGAACUCCGGGCUUCUAAAAAUCAUGCAUGCGAGCUGUCCCUUUACCCUCAUCCUCCAUAAUCAUGUUGUGCAAGAUUACACAACAUGUAAAGAGCUACCAAAGUACCCUCGUUCCCACAUCAUUGCAGCUCCACGAACAAUACCCCAUCAAGUUUGGAGGACUCAGAAUGCCCUCUCCAAAACCUUCGUAGCACCUUCUUGCAUUUGUGAAAAGAGACAUUGUUUCUUAUCACGGGUAUCGGAUAUAGUCUUCACAAACGCCGCCCAUUGAGGAUAGAUAGCAUCGGCAAGGUAGUACCCUGUGUUGUAGUUUUGCCUGUUGACAGCGUUGUUGCAUGUUGGACCCUCCCCUAUCAUAAGUCCCUUGAACAAAGGAAAUCAUUAGAGCACAUUGAUGUCAUUGUUAGAACUAGUCGUGUCAAAGAAAGAAUGCCAAAUCCGCAAGGUCCUCGAUGCCACUGCUUCAAGCAUGAUGGUGAAAUCUUUGGUGUUAUUCUGGUACUCCCUGCCCAAACCUUUGUGUCGUUCUUCCAUUGCCAAUGCAUGCAAUCGACUAGACUGAGCAUACCUGCAAAACCUAUUAUCGCUCCAAUUGGCAUCAACCUUUGUGGGUCCUCCAUAGUUGGUUUUCUCAUGUACUCCCUCAUAGCACAUGGAAACUGCACCAUCGUAUUCAGGCAUGUGGUCUAUCCCAUCCGGAUUUUAACAUCAAUGGCAUCUGCGUCCUUACCAUAAGCAAGCAUCCUGGGAGCAGCCGUGCAUUUCUGCAGAGGAGAGGAGGAAAGUUGUCUGCAAUAAUCCUUCCUCAACUUGAAGUAGCCAUCAGCCUCCUCCACGACAUUCAUUACACACAAGACCAAAUUUUUGGUCAUUCGAAAGUGACGUCGAAGAAACGUUCAUGGCAAGUUGGGUCCGGUUUGCAAUAAUCCUUGUAGAGAAGCUUCGCUCCAGCGAUCCUAUACCGUGGAACAACUCUCUUUCCCUUUAUCGAACCCUUGACGUUUGACACAUGCUCCUCUUGAUACUCCAGUUCUUCCUGGAUGCUCAUCAUCAUCAUCAUCAUUUCAGCAUCUUCGUCAUUUCGAGUGCGAUGAAUCGGUGAACUCUCUUUAUAUGAACUCGUCAAGGUCCUUGUCUUCAUCUGAUGAUGAAUCCAUUGUUUGCCUACAAAGGUCCUUGUUUCAUUGAACACAUAAAGUGCGAGGUCUAUGUUCGCAAGAGUUGCAUGUACCCGGGCGGCGACCGAUGGCGGCAUGGUCUGCGGUGUUGUGGGUUGGGGCCUGGGUGGCGGCGGCGUGGGUUGGGAAGGACAACAAAGCUAGGGUGGUGGAGGAGGUAUGGUGACGGAUUUGCAGACGAGACAAAAAAGAGGAGAGGAGGAGGACAUGUCAAGCCAGAUCAAGGACGUCGUAAGGAGAUAUGGGAUGAGCCCUGCUGUAGUCCGACGUGGCAGACGCGUCCAAAGUCAUCUGAGUGAUCUCAUGUCAACCCAACAUAUGGACUACAUAUGGAUGACGCCGGACAGACUGGUUGUAUAAGGAUGAUUAAGAGCAUCUCCAACAGCGGCAACAAAUAUCGUGCGCGCGGGAAAAGUUAGUUUGAGUGCUUUGGACAAAGAAAACACAGAGAUAACUAUUUGGUACACUGGGUUGGAUUCCACGCAUCUACAACUAGACUUCGCAAAACCGGCCUCCCAUAAGCCCGCGGAGGCGUUUGUGCGAGUUCGCGGACAGCGAUAGUCUGCCACUCAAAUAUCCUCAUCUGUAACCAUAACACUCACUUUUAGAACCGCAUCCUCAAAUCCAUGCAAACACAUGCAUGUUGAUUAUUAUUCACAAACAAUGAAUAGUACACACAUAUAAAAAUUAUUCAUGCAUAAAGAUACAUAGUUCAAACAUCAAAUUUGUUCAUAGUGCACUGAACAUAAAAAUGCAUAGUUCAUUGAUUUCCAGCAUUGAUUCACAUAUGCCCCACAGGAUCAUCGAGAAGUUGAAUGUGCACAUGGUGAUCUUGAAGUUCUCGAUGCAAAUCAGUAAAAUUGACAACAUGCUCUGCCUCUUGUUCCGGGAGGCGAAACCGAACUCCGAGCUUCUAAAAAUCAUGCAUGCGGGCUGUCCCUUUACCCUCAUCCUCCAUAAUCAUGUUGUGCAAGAUUACACAACAUGUAAAGAGCUACCAAAGUACCCCAUUUCCCACAUCAUUGCAGCUCCACGAACAAUACCCCAUAGAGUUUGGAGGACUCGGAAUGCCCUCUCCAAAACCUUCGUAGCACCUUCUUGCAUUUGUGCAGAGAGACAUUGUUUCUUAUCACGGGGAUCGGAUAUAGUCUUCACAAACGCCGCCCAUUGAGGAUAGAUAGAAUCGGCAAGGUAGUAUCUUGUGUUGUAGUUUUGCCUGUUGACAUCGUUGUUGCGUGUUGGACCCUCCCCUAUCAUAAGUCCCUUGAACAAAGGAAAUCAUUAGAGCACAUUGAUGUCAUUGUUAGAACUAGUCGUGUCAAAGAAAGAAUGCCAAAUCCGCAAGUUCCUCGAUGCCACUGCUUCAAGCAUGAUGGUUAAAUAUUUGGUGUGAUUCUGGUACUGCCUGUCCAAACCUUUGUGUCGUUCUUCCAUUGCCAAUGCAUGCAAUCGACUAGACUGAGCAUACAUGCGAAACCUAUUAUCGCUCCAAUUGCCAUCAACCUUUGUGGGUCCUCGAUAGUUGGUUUUCUCAUGUACUCCCUCAUAGCACAUGGAAACUGCACCAUCGUAUUCAGGCAUGUGGUCUAUCCCAUCCGGAUUUCAACAUCAAUGGCAUCUGCGUCCUUACCAUAAGCAAGCAUCCUGGGAGCAGACGUGCAUUUCUGCAGAGGAGAGGAGGAAAGUUGUCUGCAACAAUCCUUCCUCAACUUGAAGUAGCCAUCAGCCUCCUCCACGGCAUUCACACACAAGACCAAUUUUUUGGUCAUUCGAAAGUGACGUGGAAGAAACCUUCAUGGCAUGUUGGGUCCGGUUUGCAAUAAUCCUUGUAGAGAAGCUUCGCGCCAGCGAUCCUAUACCGUGGAAUAACUCUCUUGCCCUUUAUCGAACCCUUGACGUUUGACACAUGCUCCUCUUGAUACUCCAGUUCUUCCUGGAUGCUCAUCAUCAUCAUCAUCAUUUCAGCAUCUUCGUCAUUCGAGUGCGAUGAACCGGUGAACUCUCUGUAUAUGAACUCGUCAAGGUCCUUUGUCUUCAUCUGAUGAUGAAUCCGUUGUUUGCCUACAAAGGUCCUUGUUUUCAUUGAACACAUAAAGUCCUAGGUGUAUGUUCGCAAGAGUUGCACGUACCCGGGCGGCGGCCGAUGGCGGCACGGUCUGCGGUGUUGUGGGUUGGGGCCUGGGUGGCGGCGGCGUGGGUUGGGGAGGACAACAAAGCUAGGGUGGUGGAGGAGGUAUGGUGACGGAUUUGUAGACGAGACAAAAAGAGGAGAGGUGAGGACAUGUCACGCCAGAUCAAGGACGUCGUAAGAAGAUAUGGGAUGAGCCCUGCUGUAGUCCGAUGUGGCAGACGCGUCCGAAGCCAUCUGAGUGAUCUCAUGUCAACCCAACAUAUGGACUAGAUAUGGAUGACGCCGGACAGCCUGGUUGUAUAAGGAUGAUUAAGAGCAUCUCCAACAGCGGCAACAAAUAUCGCGCGCACGCGAAAAGUUAGUUUUAGCGCGCGCGGAGCGGGUUCGCGCGCUCCAGCGGGCGCGGGAAAUUCUGGCGCGCGGCAAAAGAUCGCGCGCGCGGGAAAAGGUGGCUGAGGGAGUCCUGGAUUAGGGGGUGUUCGGAUAGCCGGACUAUACCUUCAGCCGGACUCCAGGACUAUGAAGAUACAAGAUUGAAGACUUCGUCCCGUGUCCGGAAGGAUCUUUUCUUGGCGUGGAAGGCAAGCUAGGCGUGCGGAUAUUCAAGAUCUCCUACCAUUGUAACCGACUCUGUGUACCCCUAACCCUAUCCGGUGUCUAUAUAAAACGGAGGGUUGUAGUCCGUAGGACAACCAUCAUCAUACACAAUCAUACCAUAGGCUAGCUUCUAGGGUUUAGCCUCCUUGAUCUCGUGGUAGAUCUACUCUUGUACUACCCAUAUCAUCAAUAUUAAUCUAGCAGGAGUAGGGUUUUACCUCCAUCGAGAGGGCCCGAACCUGGGUAAAAUAAAGUGUCCCUUGUCUCCUGUUACCAUCCGACCUUGACGCACAGUUCGGGACCCCCUACCCGAGAUCCGCCGGUUUUGACACCGACAUUGGUGCUUUCAUUGAGAGUUCCUCUGUGUCGUCGCUUUUAGGCCCGAUGGCUCCUUUGAUCAUCAACAACGAUGAGGUCCAGGGUGAGACUUUCCUCCCCGGACAAAUCUUCGUCUUCGGCGGCUUCGCUCUGCGGGCCAACUCGCUUGGUCAUCUGGAGCAGAUCGAAAGCUACGCCCCUGGCCAUCAAGUCAAGUUUGGAAGCUUAAACUACACGGCAGACAUCCGCGGAGACUUGAUCUUCGACGGGUUCGAGCCACAACCAAGCGCGCUGCACUAUCCCGAGGGGCAUGAUAUAGCUCUGCCUCCGAAUAGUGCCCUGGAGGCCGCACACGCUCCGGCCCCGAUCCUCGACUCGGAGCCCGCUGCGUCCUUUGAGGAUGAACGGUUGGACGUCACCUCGGGGGCUGCGAUCUUAAAGGCGAUCGAGCCGAACGCAAGCCCCGCACUCCGCAUGGCCCAUGACUCCAAGGAGCCGGAUUCUUCUCCGAACUCCGGGCCUUCCGUGCCCCCGCCGAUCGAAUCUGAUUGGGCGCCUGUAAUGGAGUUCACCGCCGCGGACAUCUUUUAGUGCUCACCUUUCGGUGAUAUCCUGAAUUCUCUCAAGUCUCUCUCUUUAUUAGGAGAGCCCAGGACGGACUAUGGUCUGCGAGGUUGGGAUUCGGACGACAAAGAAAUUCAAAGCCCACCCACCACCCACUUAAAUAGCCACUGUCGAUGAUUUAACCGACAUGCUUGACUUCGGCUCCGAAGACUUCGACGGUAUGGACGACGAAGGAGGAGACGAACAAGAACCAGCACCUGUAGGGCGCUGGACCGCCACCUCGUCAUACGACAUAUAUAUGGUGGACGCUCCAAAGGAUGGAGAUGGAGAUGGAACAGCGGAGGACAACAACUCGAAAAACCCGCCAAAACGCCGGCGUCAACGGCGCCGCUCUAAAUACCGCCACAGCAGAAACGGUGAUUCCGGCACGGGAGAUAAUACUACCCCGGACAGCGCCGAAGAACACCAAAACCAGCAAGAGUCGGCGCAGGAAGAUGGAAAAGCCAGCCCUCACGAGAGAGCGGCAGAGCAAGAGGUUGAGGAUGAUAACUACAUGCCUCCCUCCGAAGACGAGGCAAGCCUCGGCGACGAUGAAUUCGUCAUACCAUCAGACCCCGCCGAACAAGAGCGCUUUCAACGCAGGCUUCUAGCCACGGCGAACAGCCUAAAGAAAAAGCAGCAACAACUUAGAGCUGAUCAAGAUUUGCUAGCUGACAGAUGGACUGAAGUCCUUGCGCCCGAAGAGUAUGAACUCGGGCGCCCCUCUAAAAAUUAUCCUAAGCGCAGGCCGCUACCCCAAUCAGAGGAGGAAGCACAUGACAUGGCAGACCGGCCACCUCGCGGCCGCGACAGAGAGGCAUGUCGAACCUUCAAACAAACCAUGCCCCGGGGCCGCUCAACUAAGGCACGGGAAAACAAGCCAGACCUGCGAGACGUCCUGGAGGAUAAAGCAAGGCAAACACAAUCGAUCUAUGGAUCGCGCGGACGCCCAACGACACGUGAUGAUUUUCACUCCGGACACAAUAAAUCCGGCCGGGCUGAACACAACAGGCACAGCUCUUCCGAACUGCGUCGUGACAUAGCCCAGUACAGGGGCGCCGCACACCCACUAUGCUUCACAGACGAAGUAAUGGAUCAUAAAAUCCCAGAGGAUUUCAAACCCGUAAAUAUCGAGUCGUACGAUGGUACGACAGAUCCGGCAGUAUGGAUUGAGGAUUAUCUCCUUCACAUCCACAUGGCACCUGGCGACGAUUUGCACGCCAUCAAAUAUUUACCCCUUAAGCUCAAGGGACCACCCCGGCACUGGCUUAACAGCCUUCCAGCAGACUCGAUCGGUUCUUGGGAGGACCUGGAAGCCGCAUUCCUCGAGAAAUUCCAGGGGACCUAUGUGCGGCCACCGGACGCCGACGACCUAAGCCACAUAAUUCAGCAGCCAGAAGAAUCGGCCAGGCAAUUCUGGACACGGUUCCUAACAAAGAAGAAUCAGAUAGUCGAUUGUCCGGACGCAGAGGCCCUAGCAGCCUUCAAACAUAACAUCCGCGACGAGUGGUUGGCCCGGCACCUGGGACAAGAAAAGCCGAAAACUAUGGCAGCCCUCACGACACUCAUGACCCGCUUUUGCGCGGGCGAAGAUAGCUGGCUAGCUCGCAGCAACAACUUAUCGAAGAAGACUGGUAAUUCUGAUACCAAGGACAAAAGUGGCAGGACACGUCGAAAUAAUCAGAAGCGCUGCGUUAGCAGCGACAUCAAUGAGGAUACGGCAGUAAAUGCCGGAUUCAGAGGCUAUAAAUCCGGUCAGCGGAAAAAGCCAUUUAAAAAGAAUACCCAGGGCCCGUCCAGUCUGGACCGGAUACUCGACCGCUCGUGCCAGAUUCAUGGCACCCCCAAAAGGCCAGCCAAUCACACCAAUAGAGAUUGUUGGGUGUUCAAGCAGGCAGGCAAGUUAAGAGCCGAACACAAAGACAAGGGGCUGAAUAGCGACGACGAGGAGGAGCCCAGGCCGCCGAACAACAAUGGACAGAAGGGGUUUCCCCCACAAGUGCGGACGGUGAACAUGAUAUACGCGACCCACAUUCCCAAGCGGGAGAGGAAGCGUGCGCUACCGGACGUAUACGCGAUGGAGCCAGUCGCCCCAAAGUUCAACCCAUGGUCCUCCUACCCGAUCACUUUCGAUCGAAGGGACCACCCCACUAGCAUCCGUCACGGCGGUUUCGCCGCAUUGGUCCUUGACCCAAUCGUUGAUGGAUUUCAUCUCACAAGAUUCCUCAUGGACGGCGGCAGUAGCCUGAACCUGCUUUAUCAGGAUACAGUGCGGAAAAUGGGCAUAGAUCCAUCAAGGAUCAAGCCCACAAGGACGACCUUUAAAGGCGUCAUCCCAGGUGUAGAGGCCAAUUGCACAGGCUCGAUAACACUUGAUGUGGUCUUCGGAUCUCCGGAUAACUUCUGAAGCAAAGAGUUAAUCUUCGAUAUAGUCCCGUUCCGCAGUGGCUAUCAUGCCCUGCUCGGACAAACCGCAUUCGCUAAAUUCAAUGCGGUGCCGCACUACGCAUACCUCAAGCUCAAGAUGCCAGGCCCUCGAGGAGUAAUUACGGUCAACGGAAACACCGAACGCUCCAUCUGUACGGAGCAGCACACAGCGGCCCUCGCAGCGGAAGUACAAAGCAGCCUUUCAAGGCAACUCUCCAGUCCGGCCGUUAAAAAGCCGGACAAUGCAAAGUGCGCCCGGAGUAACCUGCAACAAGACCGUUUGGCACGUUAGGAGCAAGCGUAGCAAUACGGCCCCAACCCCAGCCAUCGCAGCAUAGCAGAGCUAGUACCUAGAGUACACAAUUACGCCCUUAAAAUUCCAUGGGCACAAGGGGACGGGCACAUUAACGGCAUGCCUACAAUACGGCGUCAAGCGUACUAGGGGUUGCCGAAUUUUUCUUUUUUACUUUCAGGACUCCAUACUCUGGAUAACCUGUUCGGCCUUGCUGCCGCAUAGACGAUGCAAGACCCAGGAAGGCAGACAAAGCUACGCCGCAUUACGGAACUCUCAGGUGGUCUCUAUUUCGAGCGAUAUAUCUGUUUCUAAAUUCCGCGGCCCGCGCCUGGUCAGGACAUGUUAAAUAGUCUAAUAUCCUUCUUGCUUAUCGCACUACUUGUAUCAUUCGGCUUUGAUAAAUAGCCUCUUUAUAAACAAUGCAUAGCUUUCUGUCUAUUUUUUGCAUUAUCCUCUUUUUAUAUAUAUGUUUGUUAAAUAACAUGAUCGCACCCGUACACCAUGGUACGGCAAAACACACCAGGGGCUUCAUUACCCAUUUAUUUGGUGUGAGAAGUCCGUACACUUUCACAAGUGCGGCACCCCGAACUUAUAGCACUAUAUGCAUCGGCUCUGAGUCAUGAUUCUGGUCACAUGUUGGGUUUGCCCGGCUCCUAUGUUUUGGUGCCUUACGUUCCGCUAUAUCGGCUAAGGUAGCACUAGGAGAACCACUGCGAUUGUGCCCCAGUUCAGGUGGGUUGAGCACCUCAGUGGAGAAAGCUAAAACAGACUGUCAUGAUAAGGCGUGAGACCGGUUGCUGUUCGAGAGGUUUUUCGAGUCCUUAAAGGCUUAUGCCGCUUCGAGCGAGGAGCUGGUUAUGUCCGGCCAAAGGUGUGGAUAGCGCCCCGAAUUCGGCCUUCCGAACUAGGGGCUUCGCCGAAAUUUAAAAUUAUAACGUUCUAUGGCUAAGUGAGAGUGUUCAAGCAUUAUAGUCCGAUUGCCUGGUUCGUUGUGCUGAGCGCCUCCCUCGAAAGACCCAACUAUGGGAACAAGAGCCCUCAGGUUUAUCCCGAACACCCCAGCACUAGUGGCAUGGGGGCAAAAGCCGACGACUGGCCAUCUCUCGAUUUUUGAUAAACGGACGCACAGAAAAUAAUAUUUUAAAUUCAGUAAGCAUUGUUUAGCGCAUAUGAAAAAGUUUUCAGCGCACAGGAUACAAACGAGCGAGUUCAUUCAAAUACUACAUCUUUAGUACAUUCAUCCGCGACAAGGCGGGCUCCAGCAAGAACUUCCUUGUAGUAGUUCUCGGGCUUGCGAUGCUCCUUCCCCGCCGGCGGCCCGUCCUUCACCAGCUUCUCUCCGUCCAGCUUACCCCAGUGUACCCUUACACAGGCAAGGGCCCUUCGGGCACCUUCAGUGCAGGUGGAGCGCUUGAGGACCUCAAGCCGUGGACAGGCUUCCACCAGCCGCCGCACUAGCCCGAAAUAGCUCCCAGGCAGGGCCUCUCUAGGCCACAGCCGAACUAGUAAGCCCUUCAUGGCCUGUUCGGCCGCCUUGUGGAGCUCGACCAGCUGUUUCAGCUGAUCUCUCAAGGGCACAGGAUGUCCGGCCUCAGAAUACUGAGACCAGAACACACUCUCCGUCGAGCUGCCCUCUUCAGCUCGGUAGAACGCGGCGGCGUCGGAUGCGCUGCGGGGAAGAUCGAAGAACGCCCAUGGAGAACUCCGGAUUCGGGUAAGUAAUAGGUAGUUUACUUUUAUAUUCUUACUUUGCAUUGAGAAUGCCUUACCCGCUGCUAUCUUUUUCACCUCCUCCAACUCUUGGAGGGCCUUUUGGGCUUCGGCCUUGGCACUCUUGGCGGUCUCAAUGGCCGACGCGAGCUCGGAUGCUUGCGCUUUCGCCUCAAGCUCCAAACCCUCAUGUUUUUUCAUGAGAGCUUGCAGCUCUUCCUGCACCUCGCCGACUUGGACCCCAAGCCUUUCUCGCUCGGCGCGCUCCUCGGCCGUUUUCUUUCCGGCCUCAGCCAGCGCCUGCUUCAGGGUUGCCACCUCGGUUGUGGCCCCUACAAUAAGCAGCACAAUCCUGUUAUUUCUUUCUGCAAUCAAGCCUCUCUAUAGGCACCUUUUUUUAGGGUAUUUCUUACCUUCUUUCUCCUCGAGCUGCCGUUUGGCAAGGCCGAGCUCUUGCUCGGACCGCCCGAGGUCCUUUUUAAGGACUUCCACCUGCGCAGUCAGUGCGGCGGUGGACAGCAGCGAAGCCUGCAUACGCAUAUUUGACUUUUUUUGUUAGACUCCUGCGAAAAUUACUAGAUCCUCUAUUUGGCUUUUCUUUCCGAACACCGAACAGAGCAUCAGGGGCUACUGUCUUUGCGGUAAAUAAUUUAACACAUUUUUGUUUACCUGGAAGCCUGUUAGAAGGCUAGAGCAAGCUUCAGUCAGUCCGCUCUUGGCGGACUGAACCCUUUGGAUUACCGUACUCAUAACAGUACGGUGCUCCUCGUCGAUGGUGGCGCCCUCAAGCACCUCCAGUAGAUUGUUCGGCGCCUCUGGUUGGACAGAGGUCGCCAUCUCAGACGGCUUACUCCUCUUGGAAGGAGUUCGCCCACCGCGGACCGGGACUGUUGAGUCCAGCGCGGUGACCGGCACAAAGCCGGACUUGGAGCCCCGGGGGAUUUCAUCCCUUUACUCUUGGGGUCCGGAGGAUUGCCUUGCGGCUCCUCCAGGACCAUCUCCUCCUGCCUUGAAGCUUGGCGGGGCGCCACUUCAGCGUCGUCCGCCCCGCAGGGGGAGACAGCGGGCGGAACAGAGUUCAUAUCCGACGAAUCCAGGGAGCCGCUCGAGGAAUCGUCGAGUCCGGCCCGGGGCGGGCUGCACAAAUUACGUUCGACAUUUGGGAAUGCCGCGCAUUAGAAAAUAUCAUGAGUCACUCUGGUAUGUAAAUACUUACGAUAUCGCCGAAUGCUUGGUUCUGUCCGGCCACUCCUCUCUGCCCUCUUCGGCAUCGUGGGAGUAGUCCGGCGGAGGGGUCUUCCUUUUCCUUGACCCCUCGGCCUCCCCCAUUGGGGUGGCCUUCUUCUUCUUUUCUCCCCUCACUGGGGGGGGGGGAGAGCUUCCUUGCUCCUCCUCCUCGUUUUCACGAGAGGAGGGCAUCACAGACUCGUCAGAUGACGAGCUCGACACCACCAUGUUGCGGAAACUCUUUCGAGUCCCGGUGGUUUUCUUCUUCUUGACCUUCUUCUCCGGCACCACAUAAGGCGCUGGAGCCAGCAGCUUCUCUAGGAGAGCUGGGGCUGGGUCUUCGGGCAGGGGAGCCGGACAGUUAAUUGGUCCGGCUAUCUUCAGCCACUCCUGUUAAAGGCAAAGGGAGUUUGGAUCCCACAUAGAGUUAAUCUAUGAAGAAGAGCUUAACGAACCUGUCAAAGGUAUAGAUAGCUUACCUCGCGAGAGUCGCGCUGCGAGCUGUAUCCGCGAUCCUCGGAAGCGGAUGUGGGGCACUCGGCGCCUUUGGUCAGCACCUUCCAGACGUCUUCAUACGUCGUGUCGAAGAGCCGGCUGAGGGUUUGGUGCUGCGCCGGGUCGAACUCCCACAAAGUAAAAUCCCGUUGUUGGCACGGGAGGAUCCGACGGACGAGCAUAACCUGGACUAUAUUGACAAGCCGGAUUGGCUUGUUCACCAGGGACUGGAUGCAAGUUUGCAAUCCGGUCACCUCUUCCUCUUUGCCCCACGACAGGCCCGUCUCUUUCCAGGACAUAAGCCACGUGGGGGGUCCGGAUCGGAACUCAGGGGCUGCGACCCAUUCCGGAUCGGAACUCAGGGGCUGCGAUCCAUUCCGGAUCGGACAUAAGCCAAAGUGGGGGCGGACGCGGAGAAAGGCCUCACACACAACGAUAAAUGCCGAGAUAUUGAGGAUAAAGUUCGGGGCCAGAUCGUGGAAGUCCAGGCCGUAGUAGAACAUGAGCCCCCGGACAAAAGGGUGGAGUGGAAAACCCAGUCCGCGGAGGAAGUGGGGAAAGAAAACUACCCUCUCAUGGGGCCUUGGGGUAGGAAGAAGCUGCCCCUCCUCAGGAAGCCGGUGCGGGAUGUCCUUGGACAGGUGUUCGGCCUUCCUGAGCUUUUUGAUUUGAGCCUCCGUGACGGAGGAAACCAUCCACUUGCCUCCCGCUCCGGACAUUGCUGGAGAAGGUUGAGGAAGGAAGAGUGGACUUGGGCGCUAGAGCUUGAGUGCUCGAGAGAUGGAUGGGCAAAGGAGGAAGAAGGCAUGGGUAAAAAAGGUGGAUCCUUAUCCCCUUAUAUAGGCUGAUGCGGUUAUGCGUCCCCACCUACCUAAUAAAACUCACUUGCCUCUCAAGCGCCGUGGUAAAUGGCGCGGUUGGGUUACCCACGUCCGUAUUAAUGAGAAUCCCGUUAAAAAGGGCACACGAUCUCUGCUUUGACAAGACGUGCCAAGGAAACUGCCUCGCUAAACGCGCCGAGGUGGAAUGAUGAAAAUAAUUUAUACAUAAGGCUUGGUCGCAGUGUUAUGACGCACUGCGGAAUACGUCAGCAGAUUUGUUUUGUGUUAAUAUUAUUCUCUAUAUGGCAAUAUGUGGAAACUCGUUUUGCAGAGCCGGACACUAUUUUUGGUGUUUGUAAUCUUCUUGAAGAACUUGGAGGAGGAACCCGCCUUGCAAUGCCGAAGACAAUUUGCGCGCCGGACUUGUCGUCAUUGAAGCCUGGUUCAGGGGCUACUGAGGGAGUCCUGGAUUAGGGGGUGUUCGGAUAGCCGGACUAUACCUUCAGCCGGACUCCAGGACUAUGAAGAUACAAGAUUGAAGACUUCGUCCUGUGUCCGGAAGGAUCUUUUCUUGGCGUGGAAGGCAAGCUAGGCGUGCGGAUAUUCAAGAUCUCCUACCAUUGUAACCGACUCUGUGUAACCCUAACCCUAUCUGGUGUGUAUAUAAACCGGAGGGUUGUAGUCCAUAGGACAACCAUCAUCAUACACAAUCAUACCAUAGGCUAGCUUCUAGGGUUUAGCCUCCUUGAUCUCGUGGUAGAUCUACUCUUGUACUACCCAUAUCAUCAAUAUUAAUCUAGUAGGAGUAAGGUUUUACCUCCAUCGAGAGGGCCCGAACCUGGGUAAAAUAAAGUGUCCCUUGUCUCCUGUUACCAUCCGACCUUGACGCACAGUUCGGGACCCCCUACCCGAGAUCCGCCGGUUUUGACACCGACAGUGGCCCUUCGCGCGCUAGAUUUGGCUUGUGGCGUCCGGCGCACUCUACAAAACGCGAGCGUCCGAUGCCGCCAGCCGCACACUCGACCGCUCUCGUCAACCCUUUCUUCCCCUCGCCUCCCCUCUCUUCUUCUCAUCCGGUGCCCUGCCGCUGCCGCCGCGCCCUUCCCCCGCCGCCGAUAUGCCGCCGCGUCGCCGAAGCAGCUCGGGCUACCGCGGCGUGUGCGUCCGCCCUUCCGGCUGGUUCUACGCGGAGAUCCGCUCCGGCAACGUGCUUCUCAGUCUCGGGAGUGGAUAUGUUUUUAUCUAUGCCUAUGUUUUUAUCUAUUUUAAUCUAUGCCUAUGUUUUUUAUAUUUUUUUGGAGCGCAUAUGUUGUUUAUGCGAGAGCGCGCGUUGUCCAGGUUUGCAGCGCCUGCUGGAGCGGCUCGCGCAUGCUAAACUUUUGAGCAGCCGCUGGAGCGAGCGCUCCUCGCCGCGCAAAAACAAACGAUCCGCGCUGCAAACGCAUUUUUAGCGUUGUUGGAGAUGCUCUAAGGGGACGGUUGAGUGACAUUUUCAUGACCGGAUAGUCACUAGGCGGUAGACCGGGCGAUAAAAGUAUUUGCCCAGUUAUAGAUGCUCUAACAUGUGGCCAAUGGAACAACCACUACACCGAAGCAGCCGCUCCAAAAAGGAGCAGAUUCAGGUUCUGAGGAGCAACAGUGACAAUGGCACCGGUGAGACACUCGAGAGUGAGUAUCUGGUGAUACGGGAGCUUAGAUGCUCCCGUGAUACGAACUCCCGUGAACCGUUCGAUCAGAUGUCCAACGGUCACAAACAGAGUCCUGCAACUUUGUUGAAAAGUCCUUCAAGAAUUUGAUAUUUUCAUGCAAAUCGAAGAGCAUGGCUGCCACCCUUAGAUCUUAGAUCCGAUGGUUCACGAAAGCCCGUAUCAUUGUAUCUUAGAGCAACUCCAAUGGGGCGACCCAAACGGACAGCGCAUUUGUCUGCUUCUUGUCUGUUUGGGUCGGCCACCCGCCCGGCGUCCGCCCAGUUUUGCAUUUGGGUCGGCAAUGCGCCCAAUGCGCCGACCCAUAUCAUGUCCGCAUUCAACUUUUAAAUAAAAAAAGGCCUGCGGCCGAUCAUGCCAGCGGCCAUGUCUCAUGCCGGCAUCAUGCCAGCACCGGCAUACAAUGUCUGCUACAGAAAAUACCACAGUUCAUGCUAGCGCACUCGCCAGCCGGCCGGCACACAUGCUAGCACACAAAAAAUGGUGGGACUUGGAGUUCGACCACGCCAUUGUGGUCAUGCCAGCACACCUGCCGGCAUACAAAAAGAUGGCCCUCGACGCCAUAGAUCACUCGUCCUGGAACUUGAGCAUGCCGGCCUUCAUCUUCUCGAACCACGGCCUCUUCCUUGGCGACAAGGCGUUGAGAUCCACCUUCAUGAUCUCCACCCCGGUCAUCAUGCUUGCAAGAGGCACUUCUUUCGCCUUUGUCUUGGCGUUGGCGGCCUCGAUAUCUAGCAUCUUGGCUUGCUUCUCGGCCUCGAGCUCGAACAUCUUGGCUUGCUUCUCGGCGUCAAGAUCAAGCCUCCUCCUUUGGAUCUCCAUGAAAGCAUCCAUUUGCUCCACCUUGAAACGCUGGCGCUCCUCCUCCCUUGAGUCCUUCUUAUUCAUCAUGCCGUCCAUGCUUGCGAUCAAGGCGUUGGUGGCCGCAUCUCGCUUGUCCUCCUUCUUGGAGUUGGUCUUCCCCCGCGGUCGUGCCGGCUCGCCCUCCCCAACAUCCUCCACAGCGCCCUUCCCACCACGUGCCUUGAGCGCGGCAUAUUGUGCCUUGAACUUCUCUUCGUCCUUGAUGACCCGAUAGCAAUGGGAGAGGUUGAAGCACUUGCCAUUGUGUUGAACCUUGAAUGCCUCCAAAGCUUGAAAUGCCUACAAAAUGUUUCCAUGCAAGCAGAUGGGCAAGUGAUAGCAAAUGAAGACGUAAAAGAAUGAUCUUGAUGGCACAAAAGAGGCCGACUUGCUUGCUAUCAUACUAUGUCUUGCACGCCGAUGCCGCUCACGGGGCGGGCCUUGACGCUCUCAAGGGUGGCAUAAAACUUGUUGCACUCUUGUUGGAUCACCCUCCACCGCUUGGAAAUGGAGACCCACCCGCGCGUGCUCACAAAUUGGUAGGGUGGAAACUUCUUGCGCUCAUGAAAUUCGCGGUGCACACGAGUCCAAAGGGUUGAAUGCUUUUGCUCGGCGCCCGUCUUUGGGUCUUGUACAAUGUCUCGCCAACACUCGCAAAGAAGCUUGUCCUCGACAGCUGUGUACGCCUUCGUGCGCUUGCUCUUGCGCUUCGGCUUGGGACCGGCGGUUUGGUUGGCGAGCUCGUCCUCGACCAAAGACUCCACUUCGAUGUUGCAAUCGUCCUCUUCCUCUAUCCCAUAGUCUUCUGGGAACUCGUGGUCGAGGGGGAAGCCGUCCAGGUCGAUGCCGACCUGAUCACGCAUGAAGGCCGCCUGAUCGGGAUCAUAGCCAGCGGCCGGCGUGAACGCCAGGUGGCCGUCCUAGCUUUGCGUCUCCUCGGGAUCGUAACCAGCACCAGGCGCACCACCCUUGAAGAUGAGGUGUUGCAUGUAGUCCUCGUCAAUGGCGGACGGCAUUUUCUCGAACAGGUUGCGGGCGUCCGGGAGACCGCCGGCCGGCGUCUAUCGCGCGCGUUUCCUCGUGCCGCCAGACGACGAGCCACUGACCACCAGGGUGGCGUUGAGGUCGAUGGGCGCGGGCGCGGGCAUGGAAGGCGCGACCACGCUCACGUCGGGUGAGCACUCCCCGGAGAGGCGGGAGGCCUGCGGGUAGACGUGGAAACUGGGGACCGGGUUGCAAGCCGAUGCGCGGGGUGAGUCGGGCAUCACCAUCCGAGGAAACGCCGACGAGCCGGUGCUGACCGCGGCGACGGCGGCUUGGACGAGGCUGUGCUGGCUAGGGUUUACCCCCAAGCAUGUAGAGCGCCUCCCUCGUUGCAGCGGCGACGCGGGCGUUGGUGCAUUCCUGCUGCGCGGCGGCGGCGGCGGCCUGCGCAGCGGCAUCAUCCGUCGCGUCUGCGGCGUGCCUCCGGCCCUUCCUCUUCGCCGACUCCCUUGCCCGCGGACGAAAAACGGACGCGCGUCCGUUUGGGUCGGCGCGUUGGGCCGCCACUUUUGUCCGCGCCGACCCGAACGGACGAGGACGGACGAAAUGGGUCACUCCAUUGAAGUUGCUCUUAGAUUCAAAGCUGCAGGAGAUCUGUUUGUGACCGUUGGACAUCUGAUCGAACGGUUCACGGGAGUUCGUAUCAUGGGAGCAUCCAAGCUCCGGUAUCACCAGAUACUCACUCGACACUCGAGUGUCAUUGAGAUACGGCGGGCGGACAGCAACAAUCAGACAUGUGAUGGCCGUCGGCCCUGCCAUGUUUGCCGGGGCGAGCAGAAGCUGUGAAGCCGGCUGAUGCACGUCAGAAUCUCUGUCGAUGUCAUGUCGUACACCCCAUCGAGUUUCUUUUGUCCCUCUGAAAUUUCGUUAUCUGCUCCGCCUCUCCGGAUUAGUUUUUAUUUAACUGCUGAAAAGCACGGUCGUAGUCGCAGCCGGCCUAGCGCGCCAACGUGGCAUCGCCCAAGCGAAUGGCCCACGUACCCACUAACUAUGAAUCGUUAUCAGUACUCCGUCACAUAAUACCACGUACGUGUUUCGCAAGAAAUAAACAUUAUACCACGUAGACGUAGUACGUAGUAAUACGCGCUAACUGCCACACGUGUGGUGCGAAGGGAGACGCACCACACGUCUCUAAUUUAAACAGACUGUCAUCUCAUCGCAUGCAUGCAUUCAGGAAUCUUUUUAGAUUUUCAGUUUUUAAAAUGUUUUAUCUACUAAACAAAAAAUCCGAUUAAAAAUCCGUUUUUACCAUUAAAUCCCUCGCGAUGAGAUCUUCGAAACUAGAUCCCAUGUUGUUAUGUUUUGAUGAAUUUUUUUUGGAUUAAAAGUUGCCAUGUUUAUUGCAUAUGAAUUGCCAUGAUGUUUACACUGAAGUUGCCAUGAUAUGUUUCAGCUCUUUUCUUCUAUAUUUAAAAGUAAAUUUUGACAUUUAUAAAACGGGGAAUUAAGAAACUAGACUUGCCAUGAACCAUAAACUAAAAUUGCCAUGAUACAUGCACGUAAAAUUGCCAUGGUUCAUAAAAAAAUAAUUUUCAUGGUCAAAGUACUGGAGUUGCCAUCAUCAAAAUACUAAAAUUGCCAUGAUCUACAAACUAAAAUUGCCACAUGGCAAGUUUAGUUUAAGCCAUAUGGCAACUGCAGUGUAAACAUCGUGGCAACUUCUGGCAAAAAAAAAUCGUCGAAACAUAUCAACAUGGGGUCUAGUUUUGCAGAUCUCGUCGAGACGGAUUUAAUGGUGAAAACGGAUUUUUAGUUCGCUUUUUUAUUUAGGAGAUACAACAUUUUUAAGCCGAAAACCAAAAAAAAUUCUGGUGAUGCCAUCUAUUCAUACGUGGCAAAAUGAGUGAUGGUGAGGCGUGUGGGCAAUGUGCAAACGCCCAUACGUAUGGGCGUUAACAUUUCCGGUAAUAUAAGAGAAAUUUGUUGGGGACGCUGAACGAAUAACGAUGGAGUGGUACUUUCCUGCUAAAUACUUAGGCUGGUUCUAAGAGCAACUCUAGCAGACCCGCAACAACUUAACCUGCAAAACGCGUUUGCAGUUUCACGAAGAUCGCGUUUGCGGGUCGAAAACUAGCGCGGCCGAACAUAAACUGUAUCUAAACCUGCAUAAUUUGAAAGAACAUUUUCGCGACAGAAAUUGCAUAAACAUAGUUCAUCACAUACUACAUAGUUCAUUACAUACAUGAUCAACAAACUAUAAGCAUAGUUCAUACUACAUAUUUCAUUAACUAGUACUAGAGGGGGUCGGAUCUGACGGCGGCGAGGUCGCGACAAAUGGACGACGCCGCGGAGGAGGAGGACGCUCAAUCCUCCUCGCCGGAGCUGCACUGGUCGACGUACUUCGCUGCCUGCUCCUCGCGGAUGCGGCGCCACUCCUCGGUCUUCUCCUUGGCGGCGAGGUUGGCGGCGACCGCCUACGGCCACUAGAGGUCUUCGAGCUCCUCGGCGUGGCGCCGGCGCUCCGCCUUCUCGCACACGCUCCGCUCGGCGAUGGCGGCUGCAACGGCGUCGACGUCGGGGACGUAGUCUUCCGGCCCGACGACUCCGCGGCGGUCGAGCGGAGCGGGCUCCUCCUUCACGGGGACGAAGGCGAACGCGUCCGCCUCCUUCCCGUCCUCCUCGUCCUCCGACCACUCCCUCUUCACGGGGAGAAGGCCCGCGCCGGAGGAGAAGGAGCUCCCGGCGUACGAAGACCUCGCGGAGGAGAAGGAUGCGCGCCGGCGGUCGUACUCCCCCGUCUCGCUCCGCUGGAAGCUCGGCGGCGACAGGCCGCGGUUUGGUCCACUUCCGGGCCCCGCGCUUCCUCGCGCCGUUCGACCGGACGCGCCGCUCGCGCUCGGGGUCCCUUCCGCCGCCGGACUGUUGCCGAAGCCGCGUCCGGAGCUCCACAUUGGCCCCACAUGGCAGCUGGAGGCGGGGCGGGUGGUCGCCGGCAGCGAGAAAUGUGGAAAGGGGGAAGGGGAAUCGCGUGGCUCGACGGCGGCGGGGGAUAGGGUUUGGACCCGCAAACGAGCCGCGGAGCCGCAGAUAUAGCGGUCGGGGCGUGCGGUUUGCGGGCCGCGGUAAAAAAAUUGCGGGCCGGGCGAGUAUGCGGGCUCUGUACUGGCCGGAAAAUUGGUCCGAGCCCGCAUACUCGCUGGAAUUUUGCGGGUUUGCGCGUUUUGCGGGGUCUGCUAGAGUUGCUCUAAUUGGAGUAUCAUAUACUAGUAUCAUAAGCUUAAAACAAUAUAUACUAGUAUAAUGCAUAUGAUACUAGGAUAUAAUACUACCUCCGUAAUGUAUAGUAUAAUAAGUUAUUAUUUUAUUAGGUUGUCUUACUAAUUGUCAUGCAUGACGCAAAGUCGUACAAUAUUUAAUAUGAUACGGUAUCAUGAUAUGAUACCACACCCUCCCUUUCCUCAUUUAAUUGUGUGCCGCAUCAUCCAAAAAGUCUAGUUGGCAUGCAUGAUACCACUUAUGAUACACCCAUUACGACCAACCUUAGAUGUCUCCAACACUAACCCGCAAAUAUACUCCGGCAUCCGUCUGUGAACAGGAGGGCAGUCCGCGGACACUGAUGUAAAAGCCGACCAUCUAAUGCUAUUAUGUAUAUGUCCGCUAGUAAAGUGCAAUUUAAAUAAAAGUCUGAUCCAUAACGCGCGUCGAAUCACAACAGCACCAGAUCACAUGUCCAAUAACAUCCAAAAAGCGACAAGUAUGCUUAGGUUUUACAUGCCCGAUGAUAAAAGAAUAUCCAUCCGACAGUCCGUGAAAAAAAAAGAGAAUUUUUGCCCUGUCAGGUCGGCAAUCCUAGCCUCCUCCGCGGUCAAGGUGUCGUCGCCGCCGCAUAUGCAACCUCCACCAACGCCUCCUCCUCCUCAUUGUCCGCCGCCUCCAACUCAUCUUUCUGCUGCUGCAACAUAUUGUGGUGAACGGCUUGCACGAUCAUUUUUUGCAUCGGCAUCCAAAGACUCCACCUUCAAGGACAACAUCUUGGCGUCCUCCGCAUCGGCUGUGAUCUUCACCUUCUUUUCUUCGAGAAUCGCCUUCUUCUCCUCGAGCAUGGCCUUCUUCUCUUUGAUCAAGGCCCUCUUCUCCUCGAGUGCCAACUUGUUCUCGAUCGCCUCCAUCAACAGUUUGAACCUCUUCGUCUUUUUUUCUCCUUGAUGUUAGACCACUUGAAGUAUGCCUCCUCCUCCUUCAAAAAGAUGUCCUCAAACUUCUCUGUCAACUUGGCAGCCGCACCUUGUCGCUUCACCCUCUCCUUCCCCCACUUCUUUCCCCGGAAUCAUCUUCUAAUCUUCGUGUACGGUUCUAUUAUUGGUUCGGUUGGAUCCCGGGUUUCUUCCUCGGUGGCUUGGGCAGCGCUAUUGGCUAUGAAAAAGGAUUCACUGUUGCCCAUUCAACUGUUGGGGAAUGCAGUAAUUUCAAAAAUUUCCUACGCACACGCAAGAUCCAUCUAGGUGAUGCAUAGCAAUGAGAGGGGAGAGUGUUGUCUACGUACCCUCAUAGACCCAAAGAAGAAGCGUUAUGACAACGCAGUUGAUGUAGUCGUACGUCUUCACGAUCCGACCGAUUCUAGUACCGAAAGUACGUCACCUCCGUGAUAUGCACACGUUCGGCUCGGUGACGUCCCACAAACUCUCGAUCCAGCUGAGUGUUGAGGGAGAGCUUCGUCAGCACGACCGCGUGAUGACGAUGAUGAUGAAGUUACCGACGCAGGGCUUCGCCUAAGCACUACAACGAUAUGACCGAGGUGGAAUCUGUGGAGGGGGCACCGCACACGGCUAAGACAACUGCCAACUUAUGUGUCUAUGGGGUGCCCCCUCCUCGUAUAUAAAGGAGUGGAGGAGGGGGGAGGGCCGGCCCUCUCAUGGCGCGCCCCAAGGGGAGUCCUACUCCCACUGGGAGUAGGAUUCCCCCCUUCCCUAGUUGGAGUAGGAGAGGAAGGAAGGAGGAGAGAGGGAGAAGGAAAGGGGGCGCCGCUCCCCAUCCCUAGUCCAAUUCGGACCCAAGGGGAGGGGGCGCGCGGCCUGCCCUGGCCGCCCCUCUCUGUCCACUAAGGCCCAUAUGGCCCAUUAUACUCCCCGGGGGGUUCCUUAACCCCCCAGUAAUCGGUAAUUACCCGAACUCACCCGGAACCAUUCCGAAGUCCAAACAUAGUCAUCCAAUAUAUCAAUAUUUAUGUCUCGACCAUUUUGAGACUCCUCGUCAUGUCUGUGAUCACAUCCGGGACUCUGAACAACCUUCGGUACAUCAAAACACAUAACUCAUAAUACCGAUCGUCACCGAACGUUAAGCGUGCGGACCCUACGGGUUCGAGAACUAUGUAGACAUGAACGAGACUCAUCUCCGGUCAAUAACCAAUAGCAGAACCUGGAUGCUCAUAUUGGUUCCUACAUAUUAUAUGAAGAUCUUUAUCGGUCAAACCGCAUAACAACAUACGUUGUUCCCUUUGUCAUCGGUAUGUUACUUGCCCGAGAUUUGAUCGUCGGUAUCUCAAUACCUAGUUCAAUCUCGUUACCGACAAGUCUCUUUACUCGUUCUUUAAUGCAUCAUCCCACAACUAACUCAUUAGUCACAUUGCUUGCAAGGCUUAUAGUGAUGUGCAUUACCGAGAGGGCCCAGUGAUACCUCUCCGAUACUCAGAGUGACAAAUCCUAAUCUCGAUCUAUGCCAACUCAACAAACACCAUCGGAGACACCUGUAAAGCAUCUUUAUAAUCACCAAGUUACGUUGUGACAUUUGAUAGCACACUAAGUGUUCCUCCGGUAUUCGAGAUUUGCAUAAUCUCAUAGUCAUAGGAACAUGUAUAAGUCAUGAAGAAAGCAAUAGCAAUAAACUAAACGAUCAAGUGCUAAGCUAACCGAAUGGGUCAAGUCAAUCACAUCAUUCUCUAAUGAUGUGAUCCCGUUAAUCAAAUGACAACUUAUGUCUAUGGCUAGGAAACUUAACCAUCUUUGAUUCAACGAGCUAGUCAAGUGGAGGCAUACUAGUGACACUUUGUUUGUCUAUGUAUUCACACAUGUACUAAGUUUCCGGUUAAUACAAUUCUAGCAUGAAUAAUAAACAUUUAUCAUGAUAUAAGAAAAUAUAAAUAACAACUUUAGUAUUGCCUCUAGGGCAUAUUUCCUUCAGUCUCCCACUUGCACUAGAGUCAAUAAUUUAGAUUACACAAUAAUGAUUCUAACACCCAUGGAGUCUUGGUGCUGAUCAUGUUCUACUCGUGAGAGAGGCUUAGUCAACAGGUCUGCAACAUUCAAAUCCGUAUGUAUCUUGCAAAUCUCUAUGUCUCCCUCCUUGACUUGAUCGCUUAUGGAAUUGAAGCGUUUCUUGAUGUGCUUGGUUCUCUUGUGAAAUCUGGAUUCCUUUGCCAAGGCAAUUGCACCAGUAUUGUCACAAAAGAUUUUUCAUUGGACCCGAUGCACUAGGUAUGACACCUAGAUCGGCUAUGUACUCCUUCAUCCAGACUCCUUCAUUUGUUGCUUCCGAAGCAGCUAUGUACUCCGCUUCACACGUAGAUCCCGCCACGACGCUUUGCUUAGAACUGCACCAACUUACAGCUCCACCGUUCAAUAUAAAUACGUAUCCGGUCCAUGACUUAGAGUCAUCCGGAUCAGUGUCAAAGCUUGCAUCGACGUAACCAUUUAAGAUGAGCUCUUAGACACCUCCAUAAACGAGAAACAUAUCCUUAGUCCAUUUUAGGUAUUUCAGGAUGUUCUUGAC